This 1029-nucleotide long non-coding RNA is filed under the name Canis lupus familiaris (dog). RNAcentral's name for it is "lncRNA (ENSCAFG00040011581.1)". Lineage: Eukaryota; Metazoa; Chordata; Mammalia; Carnivora; Canidae. The record is from RNAcentral.
AUGGGCAUGCUGUGCGUGGUGACACGACCCGGGCGGGGCCCACGUGUGCUGUUGGGGAGCGCCAGGCGGGCCUCAGACAGAGGUCCUUGCUUGUGGCGGCUGCCACCGGCCGUCUGCAGUGCCAUGCCCCCCGGCCCGGCCCUGCACACGGGGCCCAUGUCCAAUGCCACCAGGAAACUCCGGGGGCGGAGCCCCCCCCCCCCCCCCCGCAGCAUCCCAUCACCCCCCCAGCCUUUUGGGGGGAGUAGCUGCCGCCUUCUGCUGUCUCCCCCGAGCCCGGGCGCAGGAAGGCCUCAUGCCCCUGGGCCACGGUGGAAUGUUCACGAACAGCAGCCCCAGCAAAGCAGGAUAAUGGCACCGCUGGGCAUCUGCAGAGCGCGGUCUGGGUGUUGCAGAGGCUGUGGGGCCCUGGGCGGCCCGCGAGGCUGCUCCUCCUCCGAAGCUCAGAUCCCCGUGGGGGAAGAAGGGAUACCUGCAAGGUCCAAGCCACCCGCGUGUGCCACGACUGUUGGGGUGCCCGUGCAGGAAAGGGGUGUCCAGACCAGUGGGGGCCAGCAGGAAGGGGGACCCGGCUUGUUUCACGACAUCCCAUGUUUGCAUUUCCGAGGCCAAGUCAGGGGACCAGGUCGGAAAGCCUGGCUCCCGGCCGGCCCGACCCCGAGCACUGCGGCUGCGGAAGAACCAACUGCCCCAGGCGCUCAGCCCCGAAUCCUCCGGGGGCCACGGGGACACGCCUCUGCCCGCUGGCCCUUGCCCUCCCCGCGCUCCAUCCCCCGGCUGGGCGGCGGCUGCACAGGCUGCUGUGCUGGGGAGCUAACGAUGGGGCGGGGGGGGGGGGAAGGCCUCCCCCGGGGUGCUCCCUCCGGGGCGCCCGCCUUCCCUGGGGACAGGCUCGCUGCAGCCGGUGGGGGGGCCGGGCCCAGGUGGGUGGCGGGUGCGAAGCCCCUGGGACCCUGGGUGCCGGGAGGGCAGGCCUCCGAGGGGGAGGGUCGUCCCCGGUGGGUUAAGGAGGCUGGAGCCGGGGUUUAG